UGGAAUCGCUAGUAAUCGCGGAUCAGCAUGCCGCGGUGAAUACGUUCCCGGGCCUUGUACACACCGCCCGUCAUACCAUGAGAGUCGGGAACACCCGAAGUCCGUAGCCUGACCGCAAGGGGGCGCGGCCGAAGGUGGGUUCGAUAAUUGGGGUGAAGUCGUAACAAGGUAAC
Molecule: ribosomal RNA, 173 nt
Filed under: uncultured bacterium
Lineage: Bacteria
Description: partial 16S ribosomal RNA
Rfam family: Bacterial small subunit ribosomal RNA
Source: RNAcentral